GCGGAUAUAGUGUAGUGGUAGCACGCGUCCUUCGGGUGGACGAAGUCCUGGGUUCAAUCCCCAGUAUCCGCC
This 72-nucleotide transfer RNA is filed under the name Kwoniella pini CBS 10737. RNAcentral describes it as "tRNA-Pro (CGG) (tRNA-Pro-CGG-1-1)". It matches the Rfam family "tRNA". Rfam says of the family: Transfer RNA (tRNA) molecules are approximately 80 nucleotides in length. Their secondary structure includes four short double-helical elements and three loops (D, anti-codon, and T loops). The record is from RNAcentral. Lineage: Eukaryota; Fungi; Basidiomycota; Tremellomycetes; Tremellales; Cryptococcaceae.